This 519-nucleotide ribosomal RNA is filed under the name uncultured Glomus. Its description in RNAcentral is "SSU rRNA". It matches the Rfam family "Eukaryotic small subunit ribosomal RNA", at positions 569 to 1081 of the family's 1831-position model. Lineage: Eukaryota; Fungi; Glomeromycota; Glomeromycetes; Glomerales; Glomeraceae. The record is from RNAcentral.
AGCAGCCGCGGUAAUUCCAGCUCCAAUAGCGUAUAUUAAAGUUGUUGCAGUUAAAAAGCUCGUAGUUGAAUUUCGGGGUCAGUAGGUUGGUCAUGCCACUGGUAUGUACUGGUCUCACUGAUUCCUCCUUCCUGAUGAGCCGUAAUGCCAUUAAUUUGGUGUUGCGAGGAAUCUGGACUAGUUACUUUGAAAAAAUUAGAGUGUUUAAAGCAAGCUAACGCUUGAAUACAUUAGCAUGGAAUAAUGAAAUAGGACGUUCGUAUCCUAUUUUGUUGGUUUCUAGGAUUGACGUAAUGAUUAAUAGGGAUAGUUGGGGGCAUUAGUAUUCAAUUGUCAGAGGUGAAAUUCUUGGAUUUAUUGAAGACUAACUAACUGCGAAAGCAUUUGCCAAGGAUGUUUUCAUUAAUCAAGAACGAAAGUUAGGGGAUCGAAGACGAUCAGAUACCGUCGUAAGUCUUAACCAUAAACUAUAGCCGACUAGGGAUCGGAUAGUAUGUUAAAUUUUUAAUAGACUCAUUC